AGAGUUUGAUCAUGGCUCAGAUUGAACGCUGGCGGCAGGCUUAACACAUGCAAGUCGAGCGGUAACAGAGAGUAGCUUGCUACUCUGCUGACGAGCGGCGGACGGGUGAGUAAUACUUGGGAAUCUGCCUUUUGGAGGGGGAUAACCACUGGAAACGGUGGCUAAUACCGCAUAAUGCUUUCGAGCCAAAGCGGGGGAUCUUCGGACCUCGCGCCAUUAGAUGAGCCCAAGCAAGAUUAGGUAGUUGGUGGGGUAAAGGCCUACCAAGCCGACGAUCUUUAGCUGGUCUGAGAGGAUGAUCAGCCACACUGGGACUGAGACACGGCCCAGACUCCUACGGGAGGCAGCAGUGGGGAAUAUUGGACAAUGGGCGCAAGCCUGAUCCAGCCAUGCCGCGUGUGUGAAGAAGGCCUUCGGGUUGUAAAGCACUUUCAGUGGUGAGGAAGGCCUAAUAGUUAAUAGCUAUUAGGAUUGACGCUAGCCACAGAAGAAGCACCGGCUAACUCCGUGCCAGCAGCCGCGGUAAUACGGAGGGUGCGAGCGUUAAUCGGAAUUACUGGGCGUAAAGCGCACGUAGGCGGUUUGUUAAGCUAGAUGUGAAAGCCCCGGGCUUAACCUGGGAAUUGCAUUUAGAACUGGCAGGCUAGAGUUUUGAAGAGGGUGGUAGAAUUUCCAGUGUAGCGGUGAAAUGCGUAGAUAUUGGAAGGAAUAUCAGUGGCGAAGGCGGCCACCUGGUCAAAAACUGACGCUGAGGAGCGAAAGCGUGGGGAGCAAACAGGAUUAGAUACCCUGGUAGUCCACGCUGUAAACGAUGUCGACUAGUUGUUCGUGUCAUAAACGAUGUGAGUAACGCAGCUAACGCACUAAGUCGACCGCCUGGGGAGUACGGCCGCAAGGUUAAAACUCAAAUGAAUUGACGGGGGCCCGCACAAGCGGUGGAGCAUGUGGUUUAAUUCGAUGCAACGCGAAGAACCUUACCAUCCCUUGACAUCCAGUGAAUCUUCUAGAGAUAGAGGAGUGCCUUCGGGAGCACUGAGACAGGUGCUGCAUGGCUGUCGUCAGCUCGUGUUGUGAGAUGUUGGGUUAAGUCCCGCAACGAGCGCAACCC
RNAcentral lists this ribosomal RNA (1108 nucleotides) under uncultured bacterium. RNAcentral describes it as "bacterial SSU rRNA". It matches the Rfam family "Bacterial small subunit ribosomal RNA", at positions 8 to 1104 of the family's 1533-position model. The record is from RNAcentral.